CCUACGGGCGGCAGCAGUGGGGGAUAUUGCACAAUGGGGGAAACCCUGAUGCAGCGACGCCGCGUGAGUGAAGAAGUAUUUCGGUAUGUAAAGCUCUAUCAGCAGGGAAGAAAAUGACAGUACCUGACCAAGAAGCCCCGGCUAACUACGUGCCAGCAGCCGCGGUAAUACGUAGGGGGCAAGCGUUAUCCGGAUUUACUGGGUGUAAAGGGAGCGUAGACGGUUAUGUAAGUCUGGAGUGAAAGCCCGGGGCCCAACCCCGGGACUGCUUUGGAAACUGUGUAACUGGAGUACUGGAGGGGCAGGCGGAAUUCCUGGUGUAGCGGUGAAAUGCGGAGAUAUCAGGAGGAACACCGGCGGCGAAGGCGGCCUGCUGGACUGAAACUGACGUUGAGGCUCGAAAGCGUGGGGAGCAAACAGGAUUAGAUACCCCUGUAGUC
RNAcentral lists this ribosomal RNA (440 nucleotides) under uncultured bacterium. Its description in RNAcentral is "partial 16S ribosomal RNA". It matches the Rfam family "Bacterial small subunit ribosomal RNA", at positions 338 to 795 of the family's 1533-position model. The record is from RNAcentral.